Molecule: non-coding RNA, 140 nt
Filed under: Saprolegnia diclina
Lineage: Eukaryota; Oomycota; Saprolegniomycetes; Saprolegniales; Saprolegniaceae
Also listed under: 1 other name
Description: TPP sequence
Rfam family: TPP riboswitch aptamer (THI element)
About the family: Vitamin B(1) in its active form thiamin pyrophosphate (TPP) is an essential coenzyme that is synthesised by coupling of pyrimidine and thiazole moieties in bacteria. The previously detected thiamin-regulatory element, thi box was extended, resulting in a new, highly conserved RNA secondary structure, the THI element, which is widely distributed in eubacteria and also occurs in some archaea. Analysis of operon structures identified a large number of new candidate thiamin-regulated genes, mostly transporters, in various prokaryotic organisms.
Source: RNAcentral
UUAACCAGCGAGGGGUGCUUGUGGAGUGUCGUCCCAGAGAGACUGUCUUUGUGGGUAUGGCGAUCAUUCCAGGGCUGAGAUCAUACCCUUUCUACCUGAUCCGGUUCGUACCGGCGGAGGGACUGCUGUGUACUAAAAGA